This 536-nucleotide ribosomal RNA is filed under the name uncultured beta proteobacterium. RNAcentral's name for it is "bacterial SSU rRNA". It matches the Rfam family "Bacterial small subunit ribosomal RNA", at positions 47 to 578 of the family's 1533-position model. The record is from RNAcentral. Lineage: Bacteria; Pseudomonadati; Pseudomonadota; Betaproteobacteria.
CCUUACACAUGCAAGUCGAACGGCAGCACGGGGGCAACCCUGGUGGCGAGUGGCGAACGGGUGAGUAAUACAUCGGAACGUGUCCUGUAGUGGGGGAUAGCCCGGCGAAAGCCGGAUUAAUACCGCAUACGAUCUACGGAAGAAAGCGGGGGAUCUUCGGACCUCGCGCUGUAGGGGCGGCCGAUGGCAGAUUAGCUAGUUGGUGGGGUAAAGGCCUACCAAGGCGACGAUCUGUAGCUGGUCUGAGAGGACGACCAGCCACACUGGGACUGAGACACGGCCCAGACUCCUACGGGAGGCAGCAGUGGGGAAUUUUGGACAAUGGGGGCAACCCUGAUCCAGCAAUGCCGCGUGUGUGAAGAAGGCCUUCGGGUUGUAAAGCACUUUUGUCCGGAAAGAAAACUUCGUCCCUAAUAUGGAUGGAGGAUGACGGUACCGGAAGAAUAAGCACCGGCUAACUACGUGCCAGCAGCCGCGGUAAUACGUAUGGUGCGAGCGUUAAUCGGAAUUACUGGUCGUAAAGCGUGCGCAGGCGG